GACAGGGGAUGCAAGCGUUGUCCGGAAUUAUUGGGCGUAAAGAGCUCGUAGGCGGUCUGUCGCGUCGGCUGUGAAAACUCGGGGCUCAACCCCGAGCCUGCAGUCGAUACGGGCAGACUAGAGUGCUGUAGGGGAGACUGGAAUUCCUGGUGUAGCGGUGAAAUGCGCAGAUAUCAGGAGGAACACCGGUGGCGAAGGCGGGUCUCUGGGCAGUAACUGACGCUGAGGAGCGAAAGCGUGGGGAGCGAACAGG
This 253-nucleotide ribosomal RNA is filed under the name uncultured bacterium. Its description in RNAcentral is "partial 16S ribosomal RNA". It matches the Rfam family "Bacterial small subunit ribosomal RNA", at positions 524 to 776 of the family's 1533-position model. The record is from RNAcentral.